Molecule: long non-coding RNA, 438 nt
Filed under: Solanum tuberosum (potato)
Lineage: Eukaryota; Viridiplantae; Streptophyta; Magnoliopsida; Solanales; Solanaceae
Description: long non-coding RNA (STUB_LNC006507)
Source: RNAcentral
CGCACUUGUUUUAAAUUGCCUUAUAUUGAAAGAAGUCAGUCAGGUUAAGUUGAGUUGAGCAAGGUAAACUUUUCAGUUUCUUCCAAAUUUCCUUCUAGCCUAUGUUGCUUAGUUUUCCAGCUCGCAUACUCGUACAUUCCAUGUACUGAUGCCAGUUGGCCUGCAUCGUCUUAUGAUGCAGAUACAGGUACCCCGGAUCAGCAUCCUGCACGUCGUUGAUCCAGCUGAGCACUCCAGAGUCAGUGGUGAGCCUCCUUGCAUUCCGGAGGACUCAAUUAUUUUGUGUUCUUAGUUUUUGUUUUAUUAGGAUGUUGCGGGGUCUGUCCCAACAUCCAUCUCAGUAUUUUAGAGGCUUCAUAGACAGACAGUCAGUCAGUUAGUUUUGAGUCUCUCAUCUAUGUUUAUAUGUAAAUAUUCUAUUUUGAGAUUCGAGUUGCC